GAGAUUCCAGUGGGGCCUCUGCCCAGAAAUCAAGCAACACUUAUUGGUACUGGAGCUCAAGACAUACUCAGCCAUUCUAGCAAAGGCACAAAUUGUGGAGAAGAGUUUCAACACCUGUCCUCAGUCAGCAGGGAGUCAUCAACCCUCAGCUCCACCCCGCAGACCAGCACCCAUUGCGCCAGUCCAACCAAAUAAGAGGCCCAGACUAGUGAUUCAGGCCCCUCCUCAGGCUCCAGGGGCAGCACGAGGAAAGAUCUGUCAGCACUAUGGCAGGGAUCACACGGAUUGAUCAUGCUACUGCCUCAACAACACCCGUUGCAUAUGUGGCAGUGUCCAACAUUAUGCGAGAGAGUGCCCGAGGAACCAGAAUUAAGGAAGACCUCCUUUUUAGGGCAGGGUU
Molecule: long non-coding RNA, 400 nt
Filed under: Carica papaya (papaya)
Lineage: Eukaryota; Viridiplantae; Streptophyta; Magnoliopsida; Brassicales; Caricaceae
Description: long non-coding RNA (CPAP_LNC001288)
Source: RNAcentral